CCUACGGGAGGCAGCAGUCGAGAAUCAUUCACAAUGGGGGAAACCCUGAUGGUGCGACGCCGCGUGGGGGAAUGAAGGUCUUCGGAUUGUAAACCCCUGUCAUGUGGGAGCAAAUUAAAAAGAUAGUACCACACGAGGAAGAGACUGCUAACUCUGUGCCAGCAGCCGCGGUAAUACAGAGGUCUCAAGCGUUGUUCGGAAUCACUGGGCGUAAAGCGUGCGUAGGCUGUUUCGUAAGUCGGGUGUGAAAGGCGCGGGCUCAACCCGCGGACGGCACAUGAUACUGCGAGACUAGAGUAAUGGAGGGGGAGCCGGAAUUCUCGGUGUAGCAGUGAAAUGCGUAGAUAUCGAGAGGAACACUCGUGGCGAAGGCGGGUUCCUGGACAUUAACUGACGCUGAGGCACGAAGGCCAGGGGAGCGAAAGGGAUUAGAUACCCGAGUAGUC
RNAcentral lists this ribosomal RNA (446 nucleotides) under uncultured bacterium. RNAcentral's name for it is "partial 16S ribosomal RNA". It matches the Rfam family "Bacterial small subunit ribosomal RNA", at positions 338 to 795 of the family's 1533-position model. The record is from RNAcentral.